RNAcentral lists this ribosomal RNA (1551 nucleotides) under Klebsiella pneumoniae. RNAcentral describes it as "bacterial SSU rRNA". It matches the Rfam family "Bacterial small subunit ribosomal RNA". The record is from RNAcentral. Lineage: Bacteria; Pseudomonadati; Pseudomonadota; Gammaproteobacteria; Enterobacterales; Enterobacteriaceae.
AAAUUGAAGAGUUUGAUCAUGGCUCAGAUUGAACGCUGGCGGCAGGCCUAACACAUGCAAGUCGAGCGGUAGCACAGAGAGCUUGCUCUCGGGUGACGAGCGGCGGACGGGUGAGUAAUGUCUGGGAAACUGCCUGAUGGAGGGGGAUAACUACUGGAAACGGUAGCUAAUACCGCAUAACGUCGCAAGACCAAAGUGGGGGACCUUCGGGCCUCAUGCCAUCAGAUGUGCCCAGAUGGGAUUAGCUAGUAGGUGGGGUAACGGCUCACCUAGGCGACGAUCCCUAGCUGGUCUGAGAGGAUGACCAGCCACACUGGAACUGAGACACGGUCCAGACUCCUACGGGAGGCAGCAGUGGGGAAUAUUGCACAAUGGGCGCAAGCCUGAUGCAGCCAUGCCGCGUGUGUGAAGAAGGCCUUCGGGUUGUAAAGCACUUUCAGCGGGGAGGAAGGCGGUGAGGUUAAUAACCUCAUCGAUUGACGUUACCCGCAGAAGAAGCACCGGCUAACUCCGUGCCAGCAGCCGCGGUAAUACGGAGGGUGCAAGCGUUAAUCGGAAUUACUGGGCGUAAAGCGCACGCAGGCGGUCUGUCAAGUCGGAUGUGAAAUCCCCGGGCUCAACCUGGGAACUGCAUUCGAAACUGGCAGGCUAGAGUCUUGUAGAGGGGGGGUAGAAUUCCAGGUGUAGCGGUGAAAUGCGUAGAGAUCUGGAGGAAUACCGGUGGCGAAGGCGGCCCCCUGGACAAAGACUGACGCUCAGGUGCGAAAGCGUGGGGAGCAAACAGGAUUAGAUACCCUGGUAGUCCACGCCGUAAACGAUGUCGAUUUGGAGGUUGUGCCCUUGAGGCGUGGCUUCCGGAGCUAACGCGUUAAAUCGACCGCCUGGGGAGUACGGCCGCAAGGUUAAAACUCAAAUGAAUUGACGGGGGCCCGCACAAGCGGUGGAGCAUGUGGUUUAAUUCGAUGCAACGCGAAGAACCUUACCUGGUCUUGACAUCCACAGAACUUUCCAGAGAUGGAUUGGUGCCUUCGGGAACUGUGAGACAGGUGCUGCAUGGCUGUCGUCAGCUCGUGUUGUGAAAUGUUGGGUUAAGUCCCGCAACGAGCGCAACCCUUAUCCUUUGUUGCCAGCGGUCCGGCCGGGAACUCAAAGGAGACUGCCAGUGAUAAACUGGAGGAAGGUGGGGAUGACGUCAAGUCAUCAUGGCCCUUACGACCAGGGCUACACACGUGCUACAAUGGCAUAUACAAAGAGAAGCGACCUCGCGAGAGCAAGCGGACCUCAUAAAGUAUGUCGUAGUCCGGAUUGGAGUCUGCAACUCGACUCCAUGAAGUCGGAAUCGCUAGUAAUCGUAGAUCAGAAUGCUACGGUGAAUACGUUCCCGGGCCUUGUACACACCGCCCGUCACACCAUGGGAGUGGGUUGCAAAAGAAGUAGGUAGCUUAACCUUCGGGAGGGCGCUUACCACUUUGUGAUUCAUGACUGGGGUGAAGUCGUAACAAGGUAACCGUAGGGGAACCUGCGGUUGGAUCACCUCCUUACCUUAAAGAA